AAUCUUUGAACGCACAUUGCGCCCCCUGGUAUUCCGGGGGGCAUGCCUGUUCGAGCGUCAUUUCACCACUCAAGCCUCGCUUGGUAUUGGGCAACGCGGUCCGCCGCGUGCCUCAAAUCGUCCGGCUGGGUCUUCUGUCCCCUAAGCGUUGUGGAAACUAUUCGCUAAAGGGUGUUCGGGAGGCUACGCCGUAAAACAACCCCAUUUCUAAGGUUGACCUCGGAUCAGGUAGGGAUACCCGCUGAACUUAAGCAUAUCAAUAAGCGGAGGAAAAGAAACCAACAGGGAUUGCUCUAGUAACGGCGAGUGAAGCAGCAAUAGCUCAAAUUUGAAAUCUGGCGUCUUCGACGUCCGAGUUGUAAUUUGUAGAGGAUGCUUCUGAGUGGCCACCGACCUAAGUUCCUUGGAACAGGACGUCAUAGAGGGUGAGAAUCCCGUAUGCGGUCGGAAAGGCGCUCUAUACGUAGCUCCUUCGACGAGUCGAGUUGUUUGGGAAUGCAGCUCUAAAUGGGAGGUAAAUUUCUUCUAAAGCUAAAUAUUGGCCAGAGACCGAUAGCGCACAAGUAGAGUGAUCGAAAGAUGAAAAGCACUUUGGAAAGAGAGUUAAAAAGCACGUGAAAUUGUUAAAAGGGAAGGGAUUGCAACCAGACUUGCUCGCGGUGUUCCGCCGGUCUUCUGACCGGUCUACUCGCCGCGUUGCAGGCCAGCAUCGUCUGGUGCCGCUGGAUAAGACUUGAGGAAUGUAGCUCCCUCGGGAGUGUUAUAGCCUCUUGUGAUGCAGCGAGCGCCGGGCGA
RNAcentral lists this ribosomal RNA (795 nucleotides) under uncultured Davidiella. RNAcentral describes it as "eukaryotic LSU rRNA". The stretch from base 215 to 795 matches the Rfam family "Eukaryotic large subunit ribosomal RNA", at positions 1 to 503 of the family's 3401-position model. Lineage: Eukaryota; Fungi; Ascomycota; Dothideomycetes; Cladosporiales; Cladosporiaceae. The record is from RNAcentral.